This 254-nucleotide ribosomal RNA is filed under the name uncultured bacterium. RNAcentral's name for it is "partial 16S ribosomal RNA". It matches the Rfam family "Bacterial small subunit ribosomal RNA", at positions 524 to 776 of the family's 1533-position model. The record is from RNAcentral.
UACGGGGGGAGCAAGCGUUGUUCGGAUUUACUGGGCGUAAAGGGCGCGUAGGCGGCCAGCACAAGUCAGUUGUGAAAUCUCCGAGCUUAACUCGGAACGGUCAACUGAUACUGUGCGGCUAGAGUGCGGAAGGGGCAACUGGAAUUCUUGGUGUAGCGGUGAAAUGCGUAGAUAUCAAGAGGAACACCUGCGGCGACGGCGGGUUGCUGGGCCGACACUGACGCUGAGGCGCGAAAGCCAGGGGAGCGAACGGG